CCUACGGGAGGCAGCAGUGGGGAAUAUUGCGCAAUGGGCGAAAGCCUGACGCAGCGACGCCGCGUGAGGGAUGAAGGUCUUCGGAUCGUAAACCUCUGUCAGCAGGGAAGAACGGUCACUGUGCUAAUCAGCAGUGAAUUGACGGUACCUGCAAAGGAAGCACCGGCUAACUACGUGCCAGCCGCCGCGGUAAUACGGAGGGUGCGAGCGUUAAUCGGAAUUACUGGGCGUAAAGCGCUCGUAGGCGGUAUGUCAAGUCAAGGGUGAAAUCCCCGCGCUCAACGUGGGAACUGCCUGUGAAACUGGCAAACUGGAGUGUGUGAGAGGAUAGUGGAAUUCCAGGUGUAGGAGUGAAAUCCGUAGAUAUCUGGAGGAACAUCAGUGGCGAAGGCGACUAUCUGGCACAUAACUGACGCUGAGGAGCGAAAGCGUGGGUAGCAAACAGGAUUAGAUACCCGAGUAGUC
This 465-nucleotide ribosomal RNA is filed under the name uncultured bacterium. RNAcentral's name for it is "partial 16S ribosomal RNA". It matches the Rfam family "Bacterial small subunit ribosomal RNA", at positions 338 to 795 of the family's 1533-position model. The record is from RNAcentral.